UACGUAGGGUGCAAGCGUUGUCCGGAAUUAUUGGGCGUAAAGAGCUCGUAGGCGGUCUGUCGCGUCGGAUGUGAAAACCCAGGGCUCAACCCUGGGCCUGCAUUCGAUACGGGCAGACUAGAGUUCGGUAGGGGAGACUGGAAUUCCUGGCGUAGCGGUGAAAUGCGCAGAUAUCAGGAGGAACACCGAUGGCGAAGGCAGGUCUCUGGGCCACUACUGACGCUGAGGAGCGAAAGCAUGGGGAGCGAACAGG
Molecule: ribosomal RNA, 253 nt
Filed under: uncultured bacterium
Lineage: Bacteria
Description: partial 16S ribosomal RNA
Rfam family: Bacterial small subunit ribosomal RNA
Source: RNAcentral